UCUGGGUGUGGAGGUGCAUGUCUAUAAUCCCAGCUACUCUGGAGGCUGAGGCAGGAGGAUUGCAAGGUUGAGGCCAGCUGAGCCACUUAGCAAGACCCUGUCUCGC
This 106-nucleotide small RNA is filed under the name Marmota monax (woodchuck). The record is from RNAcentral. Lineage: Eukaryota; Metazoa; Chordata; Mammalia; Rodentia; Sciuridae.